CAGUUUUACAACUCUUUUAAAAUGUGUCUAGUAGAUUUUCUGGUCUUUACCAGAAAGACUCA
Molecule: small nuclear RNA, 62 nt
Organism: Cercocebus atys (sooty mangabey)
Lineage: Eukaryota; Metazoa; Chordata; Mammalia; Primates; Cercopithecidae
Gene: U7
Rfam family: U7 small nuclear RNA
About the family: Animal histone pre-mRNAs are spliced by a different mechanism than nuclear pre-mRNAs and self-splicing introns. This processing involves the U7 snRNP, which contains only one RNA species: U7.
Source: Ensembl